RNAcentral lists this ribosomal RNA (496 nucleotides) under uncultured bacterium. Its description in RNAcentral is "partial 16S ribosomal RNA". It matches the Rfam family "Bacterial small subunit ribosomal RNA", at positions 28 to 506 of the family's 1533-position model. The record is from RNAcentral.
GAUGAACGCUGGCGGCGUGCCUAAUACAUGCAAGUCGAGCGAACGGACGAGAAGCUUGCUUCUCUGAUGUUAGCGGCGGACGGGUGAGUAACACGUGGAUAACCUACCUAUAAGACUGGGAUAACUUCGGGAAACCGGAGCUAAUACCGGAUAAUAUUUUGAACCGCAUGGUUCAAAAGUGAAAGACGGUCUUGCUGUCACUUAUAGAUGGAUCCGCGCUGCAUUAGCUAGUUGGUAAGGUAACGGCUUACCAAGGCAACGAUGCAUAGCCGACCUGAGAGGGUGAUCGGCCACACUGGAACUGAGACACGGUCCAGACUCCUACGGGAGGCAGCAGUAGGGAAUCUUCCGCAAUGGGCGAAAGCCUGACGGAGCAACGCCGCGUGAGUGAUGAAGGUCUUCGGAUCGUAAAACCCUGUUAUUAGGGAAGAACAUAUGUGUAAGUAACUGUGCACAUCUUGACGGUACCUAAUCAGAAAGCCACGGCCAACUACGU